Molecule: long non-coding RNA, 848 nt
Organism: Aethalodelphis obliquidens (Pacific white-sided dolphin)
Lineage: Eukaryota; Metazoa; Chordata; Mammalia; Artiodactyla; Delphinidae
Exons: 4
Source: RefSeq, a predicted model, not a curated record
CCGCUGAAGUGUUCCCUCCUCUUCUUCCUCCUCUUGCUGAGUCCGCCAGCUAACGCGGACUGGAACUCUCCCGGAAGAAUGAAAGAACGCUUCUACUGGGAAAAUUUUGUAAAGGUCAGUUUGCAGGCUUUUAGUUAAGGCAACUGAAUUGUAGUUUGUUAGAAGUGUCUCAAACUAUUGAAGAGAAAUUGUCAUCAAAUUAUACUUUUUAUUGGAAUCGAGUCUUCAAAAUCAGGGGUGGAUUUUAUACCUACAGCACAUGUCAAUUCAGAUUAGCCCUAUUUCAAGUACUCAUGUGGCUAUGUGAAGGUCUAGGAUAUGCCUUUCCUAGAAGAAGUUAACCGGGAGGCCAAGAUAAUAAUCAGAAGACUCUCUGGUAUUCCCAUAGCCCUAAUCCUCUGAAGCUGUGAUUUGGCUUGCAAGAGGAAAGAAGUCUUCAUCACUGGCCUGGAUGGAGCAGCCUGUGAUUAGAAAACCCUUUCACCCUCUGCUACUUGCGCCUGGGACUGCAAGACCCUGUGGAAUGAGCUGUUCAGGUUUUCCUGGGAUGAGAGAUGAAAACCACCAGCACUUGUCUUGUUAAAACUAAACAGUCAAAAGUAGCCUCAUAUGUUCCUUGGAAGACAUCUACCCUCUCUGACUGGAAGUAUUUCACAAAAGAGUCCCCACAUCUCAAGCUCUGAAAUAGGAAUUGUGUGCCUGGAGGUGACUUCAUUAAUCCACCUGGUUCUCUCUUCCAUCCCCCAGCCGAUCUCUGCUCUUGUAUCUGCCUAUCCUUCUGACUUGGCACUGGACCCAGGGGGCUGACACAGACUCAUUGAGGUGAAUGGCUGCUCAUACACCCACCU